This 468-nucleotide ribosomal RNA is filed under the name uncultured bacterium. RNAcentral's name for it is "partial 16S ribosomal RNA". It matches the Rfam family "Bacterial small subunit ribosomal RNA", at positions 28 to 507 of the family's 1533-position model. The record is from RNAcentral.
GACGAACGCUGGCGGCGUGCUUAACACAUGCCAGUCGAACGGAAAGGCCCUGCUUUUGUGGGGUGCUCGAGUGGCGAACGGGUGAGUAACACGUGAGUAACCUGCCCUUGACUUUGGGAUAACUUCUGGAAACUGGGGCUAAUACCGGAUAGGAGCUCCUGAUGCACGGUGGGGGUUGGAAAGAUCCGGCGGUUGUGGAUGGACUAGAGGCUUAUCAGCUUGUUGGGCGGGUAGUGGAUUACCAAGGCUUUGACGGGUAGCCUGCCUUAGAGGGUGACCGGCCACCUUGGGACUGCGAGACGGCGCAGACGCGUAUGGGAGGCAGUAGUGGGGAAUAUUGCACAAUGGGCCGAAGUGUGAUGUAGCAACGCCGCGUUCGGGAUGCCGGCUUUUGGGUUGUAAACCGCUUUCGCAUGUGACGAAGCCUUAGUGACGGUAAUGGGUAAAGAAGCACCGGCUAACUACGUG